UACGGAGGGUGCAAGCGUUAUCCGGAUUCACUGGGUUUAAAGGGUGCGUAGGCGGCUUACUAAGUCAUUGGUGAAAGCUCGCAGCUCAACUGCGAAACUGCCAUUGAAACUGUUUAGCUUGAAUGUGGUUGAAGUGGGCGGAAUACAACAUGUAGCGGUGAAAUGCUUAGAUAUGUUUUAGAACACCGAUUGCGAAGGCAGCUCACUAAGCCAAUAUUGACGCUGAGGCACGAAAGCGUGGGUAGCAAACAGG
Molecule: ribosomal RNA, 253 nt
Filed under: uncultured bacterium
Lineage: Bacteria
Description: partial 16S ribosomal RNA
Rfam family: Bacterial small subunit ribosomal RNA
Source: RNAcentral